Molecule: transfer RNA, 60 nt
Filed under: human gut metagenome
Rfam family: tRNA
About the family: Transfer RNA (tRNA) molecules are approximately 80 nucleotides in length. Their secondary structure includes four short double-helical elements and three loops (D, anti-codon, and T loops).
Source: RNAcentral
GUUAGCUCAGUCGGUAGAGCGCAUGACUGUUAAUCAUGAUGUCGCUGGUUCGAGCCCGGC